This 484-nucleotide ribosomal RNA is filed under the name uncultured bacterium. Its description in RNAcentral is "partial 16S ribosomal RNA". It matches the Rfam family "Bacterial small subunit ribosomal RNA", at positions 30 to 507 of the family's 1533-position model. The record is from RNAcentral.
AUUGAACGCUGGCGGCAGGCCUAACACAUGCAAGUCGAGCGGAUGAGGGGAGCUUGCUCCCUGAUUUAGCGGCGGACGGGUGAGUAAUGCCUAGGAAUCUGCCUGGUAGUGGGGGAUAACGUUCCGAAAGGAACGCUAAUACCGCAUACGUCCUACGGGAGAAAGCAGGGGACCUUCGGUCCUUGCGCUAUCAGAUGAGCCUAGGUCGGAUUAGCUAGUUGGUGAGGUAAUGGCUCACCAAGGCGACGAUCCGUAACUGGUCUGAGAGGAUGAUCAGUCACACUGGAACUGAGACACGGUCCAGACUCCUACGGGAGGCAGCAGUGGGGAAUAUUGGACAAUGGGCGAAAGCCUGAUCCAGCCACGCCGCGUGUGUGAAGAAGGUCUUCGGAUUGUAAAGCACUUUAAGUUGGGAGGAAGGGCUGCUGGUUAAUACCCUGCAGUUUUGACGUUACCAACAGAAUAAGCACCGGCUAACUUCGUG